Molecule: ribosomal RNA, 431 nt
Filed under: uncultured bacterium
Lineage: Bacteria
Description: partial 16S ribosomal RNA
Rfam family: Bacterial small subunit ribosomal RNA
Source: RNAcentral
CCUACGGGAGGCUGCAGUCAAGAAUCUUCCACAAUGGGCGAAAGCCUGAUGGAGCGACGCCGCGUGCAGGAUGAAGGCCUUCGGGUCGUAAACUGCUUUUAUAGGGGACGCGGUACCCUAAGAAUAAGAGGUUGCUAACUCUGUGCCAGCAGCAGCGGUAAUACAGAGACCUCAAGUGUUAUCCGGAUUUAUUGGGCGUAAAGCGUCCGCAGAUUGUUUGACGGGUUAGGGGUUAAAACCCAGUGCUUAACACUGGGGUUGCCUUUAAAACUAUCAAACUAGAGGGUGGAAGAGGUAAGCGGAAUUGCAGGUGUAGUCGUAAUAAGCGUUGAUAUCUGCAAGAACACCAAAGGCGAAGGCAGCUUACUAGUACAUCUGACGUUCAUGGACGAAAGCGUGGGGAGCAAACAGGAUUAGAUACCCUUGUAGUC